Portunus trituberculatus (swimming crab) is the source of this 188-nucleotide long non-coding RNA. RefSeq lists it as uncharacterized. The transcript is spliced from 2 exons. The record is from RefSeq and is a predicted model, not a curated record. Lineage: Eukaryota; Metazoa; Arthropoda; Malacostraca; Decapoda; Portunidae.
GGAGGAGGAGCAUAUUUCCUAGACUUGAACCGAAUGUGAAAUUUAUGAUCUGUACGAAUGGAAGAGGUGACACACACACACACACACACACACACACACACACACACACACACACACACACACACACACACACACACACACACACACACACACACACACACACACACACACACACACACACACACACA